UGGCUCAGAGUGAACGCUGGCGGCAGGCCUAAUACAUGCAAGUCGAACGGCAGCACAGCAGAGCUUGCUCUGUGGGUGGCGAGUGGCGGACGGGUGAGGAAUACAUGGGAAUCUGCCCAGUCGUGGGGGAUAACGUAGGAAACUUACGCUAAUACCGCAUGCGCCCUUCGGGGGAAAGCCGGGGACCUUCGGGCCUGGCGCGAUUGGAUGAGCCCAUGUCGGAUUAGCUAGUUGGCGGGCAAUGGCCCACCAAGGCGACGAUCCGUAGCUGGUCUGAGAGGAUGAUCAGCCACACUAGAACUGAGACACGGUCCAGACUCCUACGGGAGGCAGCAGUAGGGAAUAUUGGACAAUGGGCGCAAGCCUGAUCCAGCCAUGCCGCGUGAGUGAAGAAGGCCCUCGGGUUGUAAAGCUCUUUUGUCCGGAAAGAAAAGCGCCGGGUUAAUACCCUAGUGUCCUGACGGUACCGGAAGAAUAAGCACCGGCUAACUUCGUG
Molecule: ribosomal RNA, 496 nt
Filed under: uncultured bacterium
Lineage: Bacteria
Description: bacterial SSU rRNA
Rfam family: Bacterial small subunit ribosomal RNA
Source: RNAcentral